RNAcentral lists this transfer RNA (63 nucleotides) under Placobdella parasitica. RNAcentral's name for it is "transfer RNA Phenylalanine". Lineage: Eukaryota; Metazoa; Annelida; Clitellata; Rhynchobdellida; Glossiphoniidae. The record is from RNAcentral.
AUUUAGGUAGAUUAAUAUAAAUCAUAUUAUUGAAGAUAAUAUAAUAGGGAAACCUCCUAGAUA